Molecule: long non-coding RNA, 2877 nt
Organism: Aethalodelphis obliquidens (Pacific white-sided dolphin)
Lineage: Eukaryota; Metazoa; Chordata; Mammalia; Artiodactyla; Delphinidae
Exons: 3
Source: RefSeq, a predicted model, not a curated record
GCAUUUUUGACUUGGAGAAAUAGAUUAUAAAUCAGUGGGCUGCUCAUUUUAAAGACGGCCUUCUCCUAAAUGGCCUUCCUCUUUCCCAGAAGUUGGACAAUGAUUUUAGCUGAUGACUUAUUUAUUCGUCAUUUAAUAAUAACAGUCAUAGUUACCCUGAUUUGAAUGCCUAUAAUGUGCUAGGAUACUUUGUGUAAGAACUCCACAACAGCCCUCCAAGUUAUCCCCAUUCUGUGCUUUGAGAGGUGAAGGAACUUGCCGAAAACCAUAAGACUCCUAAGUGACAGAGCCAGGAUCCUGCCAGCUAUCUUGCUGCCCAGCAGGGACUCUGUUCAUCUUGCCACCAACCCCUGCGUUAUGUACAAGAAUAGAAUGAACAGUCAUUUCUAUAAAGUGCAACAAGCAGCUGUUCAUAAAAGUUUAGUAUUUGAACUGAGAAAACAACCACCACCAUAUUCAACCUUCAAGGGGCUUAUUAUUUCUACAGUCUCUUAUCACAUUAAAGAAUAACACCCUGGUUCUUUAUACACAUUUCUCGGUGCUUAACUUUAAAAAAUAUUGCAUGAUUCCUUUAUCAGAGAUUUUAAUGAAAUCAGGAAAUAAUAAGUAACCCAAUCGAAAUGUGUUCAUCCUAAAUUUGGCCUGGCUACAGAAAUUCAUUUUCACCUCAUUCCUCAUCCCCGCCUUUCCAAUGUCCUAAAGCACGAACCCAUUGGGUGUUCCCUCCGUUUCCCCAAGGAAAUAUUUCAUUCAUAUAAUGUCUCCUUUGUAAUCAACACUGAGAAAUGUCACUUUGAUUAAACACAACUCUGAAUGACUAAGACGACAGUACAAUAAAUUCUCCAGAGCUAUCUUUCAGAACAACGGAUUGCUCUUUAGUCUUAAUCCUCCAGAGUCUUAUUUAAUCAAAAUGAUGUUGCUAAUUAAGGAUUAAAACCUCCGAAUAGAAUAAAAAAGAAGGAUUUUUCUUUCUCCUUUGGGCAGGUCAAGGAGGCAGAAUUUGCUGUAAGGAAGUAAAAAGUCCCUUCCACCUUUGGUAAAACUGCAUUAUUCUCUGACGUUUGGACUUAAUCCAAAAUAGGCCUGAGUGCUUUGUAAUAUUAAUAUAGUCGGGGGAUGGGGGGAAGAAGGAAAGAAAGAAGGAAACAAAAGAAAGCAGAAAGAAAAACAGAAAGAAAAAGGAACUGUCUUAGAUAACUAUAUGUACCUAGAUAAUAUUUAUUCUAAAUUUUUUUCAUUUAAUGCUUUUAAUAUGAAUUUUCUUUAAACAUUUUGUCUGAUGCUGUCUGUGCAUUGCUUUUAUCCAUUGCUAACAUUGAUGGAAUGGCAGAAUAUUUUAGAAAAAUGAUACUAACCUAUUUCACAGAGAAGAGGAAGCAAAAGACAAUAUAUCUCCAGUAUAUUUGACAUCAACUGGUGAAUGCCAAUAAGAACAACAGAGUUCUCUACUAAAUGCUGAAAUACUCUAUCUUGAGAUCAAAAUCUCAAUUUCUCCUUGAAUUUGCAUUUGAUAAUAAAAAUUGGUUCCUUGAAAACACAUAAAACUGUAUAAGAACUCACUAAGAGAGACAAAGCUGUAUAGAAAUGUAGUUUGAUUUCCAUGGAAUACAAAUUCUUUCAGGUGCUGGGGGUGAAGUGGAUGUUAAAUAGAGAUGCUGGUUGAUGUUUUAACGAAUUGUAAAAUACUUCUUCCAUCCUUUUCAUCUUUCUGAAUUUAUAAUCUCUGCCGUGUUAGUCUAUUACAAUGUAGACAUAACUAAUAAUAUCUACUGUUUAUUGAUUACCACUAUGUGCCACAUUCUCUGCCAGUAAUACACAUAUUAUUACCUCUAAUAAAACCCAGGAAGAGGUAUUAUUAUAACCCUUCAGAAAUGGUUAAACUCAAAGAAGAAAUGACUUGACCAAGGUCAGGCAGCUGUGUGAAGUAGAAUUGAGAUUUCCACCAAGGCCUGUUUGGCUCCAAAGCCACAUUCUAUUCACUAUGACAUGCCAUCUCACACUUGUUUACUUGAAGGAUAAAGUCAUCAGUGUGUUUCAAGAAGGUGCUGGUAAACUGUGUUGGCCUAUACCUGACUCAUAGGCUCCCAGAAUACUGGCUGAAUCAUUGUCAAAGGUAUUGUCCCAUUGUCACCCAGCCCAAUCAAUGACAAAGGCUGAACAACCAUCAUCAAAACGGGACCAGAGAGCAAGCAAUGAGAAAUGCCCAAAGGGGGAGGAAUGUCUGUUCCCGAGAAUGCCUGUUUUCUCUCUUAGCCAGUGCUACUUACCAGUUAAAAAAGGACAUUUGUUUCUGGAAUGCAUACUCCUGAAGGCUGUAAGCACCCAGUGGACAGACAAUGGUCCUUAUUCCUCCUGUGCCGAGGCAGAUGGCCACCAGUGCUACGUGAAACAGCCUGGUCUGUUCCUUUUUUGUGGCGUGGAGCCUCCUUUGCCACACACAUAGGUGAGAAGGCUGGGGAUGGGUGUGAGACAUACAUCAGCAAGCCAUCCUGCAAACACCGGGGUAAGGAUUGACGUUCCAAUAAAACACAAGUUCAAAAUGGCGGCUUGGUAAUUGUGAUAGCCAAGCUUGACGGUGCAAAAGGGGAUCAUAUUGCGGACGACUUCAAAGAAAGUGAACCUCUCACACAGCUCCACCAGAAGCAAACAGAUUCCAACUUGCAAUUUUUUCAGAGUAUGAGGAAGACAAAUAACCAAUAUGUCUUAUAGUUUUCUCCUUCUCAAUGCUGUGAUUUAAGGGUACUUCCUCAUCGGUGUUUUUAAAGCCUGUAACAGACAUGACUACCCUCCUUGAAGACUACUUAUGCUAGUGGUUUGAACUUGGUGAUUUUUCCCCCACUCCUCUAAUGAAAAAAUAAAUAAGAUCUUUGCUUUGAA